CGCGGCGACGUGGGCGGUCCGCCGCCGGCGACGUCGCGAGAAGUCCACUGAACCUUAUCAUUUAGAGGAAGGAGAAGUCGUAACAAGGUUUCCGUAGGUGAACCUGCGGAAGGAUCAUUUUCGAAACCUCUGCCCAGCAGAACGACCCGCGAACUCGUGCAACGAACCAGCGUCGGGGGUCCCUCGGGCCCCCGCGCGCAGGCCGGGAGGGGACCCGUGCCCCCCUCGGUCGCCAACAACAAACCCCGGCGCGGCAUGCGCCAAGGAAUACGUAACGAGAGACGCGGCGCGCCCCCGUCGCCCCGGGAACGGUGAGCGGGGGGCUCGCCCGCUCUUUUGAGUCAACCACAACGACUCUCGGCAACGGAUAUCUUGGCUCUCGCAUCGAUGAAGAACGUAGCGAAAUGCGAUACUUGGUGUGAAUUGCAGAAUCCCGUGAACCAUCGAGUCUUUGAACGCAAGUUGCGCCCGAAGCCUUCGGGCCGAGGGCACGCCUGCCUGGGUGUCACGCAACGUCGCCCCUCCCGAGCACCGCUCCGCGGGCCGGCGAGCGGCGGAGAAUGGUCUCCCGCGGCCUCCGCCGCGGUUGGCCCAAACACGAGCCCCCGGCGACGAGCGCCGCGGCAUUCGGUGGUUGAGAGACCCUGCUCCCCGCCGCGCGCGCCCCGUCGCAGUCGGGGGAACUCCAUGUCGACCCCCGGUGCGCAACCGAACCGACGCGACCCCAGGUCAGGCGGGAUUACCCGCUGAAUUUAAGCAUAUCAAUAAGCGGAGGAAAAGAAACUUACCAGGAUUCCCCUAGUAACGG
Molecule: ribosomal RNA, 808 nt
Filed under: Bridelia tenuifolia
Lineage: Eukaryota; Viridiplantae; Streptophyta; Magnoliopsida; Malpighiales; Phyllanthaceae
Description: eukaryotic LSU rRNA
Rfam family: 5.8S ribosomal RNA (bases 353-508)
Source: RNAcentral